RNAcentral lists this long non-coding RNA (681 nucleotides) under Parus major (Great Tit). RNAcentral's name for it is "lncRNA (ENSPMJG00000009220.1)". Lineage: Eukaryota; Metazoa; Chordata; Aves; Passeriformes; Paridae. The record is from RNAcentral.
AUAGAGGGUCCAAAUAACAGACCCUGCUCUUGGGAAAGUCUGCUGCUUCCCCUAGCCUAGGUUAAGGACAUCACUGGGAAACUUCCUGAUCUGGUAUGGCCCUUGGAGUAUUGCCGGUUGCUGCUUUUCCUUGUGGGUGGUGAUGAAACCACAAGGUACAGUCCAGAGUUAAUCUAAAGUGUCUUCAGAGUCUUGGCACAAUUGGGGAGGGAAUCUGGAACACAGGUCACAUUUUCCUUCCAGCCACAGGAAGCAACAUUGGAAGAAAUAGAUGGGCCCAGUGUGUUAAUACCUGACUGAGAUGUGCUGACAAUGCUGCAGCACACUGGAAGAUUUACAGAGAAGAGCCAGGUGUUCCUCAGAUGAUAGAACUCACCACGGAAACUACUGGUACAUUACUAGUCCAUAACAAAAAAGAGCGUUCUUUGAUCCUCCUUUGAUCCAGUGAAGAUUCUGGGAUGCCAUGAUGGCUGCUUGUAGUUCCACUAGUAUUUUGGGUGGACUUGAACACCCCUUGGAAGUGAAAUCCAGAAAACAAACCAGUCUGGAACAAAGUAGGAAAAAAUGGGUUAUGAUCCUGUUCCUCUUCUAGUGAAGGUAAAUCCUACUCAUUUACAAAGCAGCUGAAGACUUGUCACUACACAGCACACCAAGGCACUUUAUACUCCAGGUAUCUGUGUC